This 723-nucleotide ribosomal RNA is filed under the name Escherichia coli. RNAcentral describes it as "partial 23S ribosomal RNA". It matches the Rfam family "Bacterial large subunit ribosomal RNA", at positions 470 to 1194 of the family's 2925-position model. The record is from RNAcentral. Lineage: Bacteria; Pseudomonadati; Pseudomonadota; Gammaproteobacteria; Enterobacterales; Enterobacteriaceae.
AUACUCCUGACUGACCGAUAGUGAACCAGUACCGUGAGGGAAAGGCGAAAAGAACCCCGGCGAGGGGAGUGAAAAAGAACCUGAAACCGUGUACGUACAAGCAGUGGGAGCACGCUUAGGCGUGUGACUGCGUACCUUUUGUAUAAUGGGUCAGCGACUUAUAUUCUGUAGCAAGGUUAACCGAAUAGGGGAGCCGAAGGGAAACCGAGUCUUAACUGGGCGUUAAGUUGCAGGGUAUAGACCCGAAACCCGGUGAUCUAGCCAUGGGCAGGUUGAAGGUUGGGUAACACUAACUGGAGGACCGAACCGACUAAUGUUGAAAAAUUAGCGGAUGACUUGUGGCUGGGGGUGAAAGGCCAAUCAAACCGGGAGAUAGCUGGUUCUCCCCGAAAGCUAUUUAGGUAGCGCCUCGUGAAUUCAUCUCCGGGGGUAGAGCACUGUUUCGGCAAGGGGGUCAUCCCGACUUACCAACCCGAUGCAAACUGCGAAUACCGGAGAAUGUUAUCACGGGAGACACACGGCGGGUGCUAACGUCCGUCGUGAAGAGGGAAACAACCCAGACCGCCAGCUAAGGUCCCAAAGUCAUGGUUAAGUGGGAAACGAUGUGGGAAGGCCCAGACAGCCAGGAUGUUGGCUUAGAAGCAGCCAUCAUUUAAAGAAAGCGUAAUAGCUCACUGGUCGAGUCGGCCUGCGCGGAAGAUGUAACGGGGCUAAACCAUGCAC